Molecule: long non-coding RNA, 1903 nt
Filed under: Paramuricea clavata
Lineage: Eukaryota; Metazoa; Cnidaria; Anthozoa; Malacalcyonacea; Plexauridae
Source: RNAcentral
UGACCAAGCAUCUUAGGAAUGGAUAUAACUAUGAAAUUGCAUGUAUGCCAUAUUUUUAAGACCUAGUCCAAAAUGAUAGUCGGGAAAGAACAGAAUCUGCGGACAGCAAAAUUGAUGAAGAGAACGAAGAAGAAGAUAACGAAAAAGACGAUGACGACGACAACGAUGAUGAUGAUGAUGAUGAUGAUGAUGAUGAUGACAAUAAAGAUAAGAAAACGAUAAAGAUAGCAAAGAAGGUGAGUUUUGUAUUCAUUAUUUGGUUGAUUAUGAGGUUGAGCAUGAUACAAUUAAUUAUCUAUCACAAUUCCCAAAGUAAAUGUUAUGAACGGAACGGAAGCUGAGUUUGAUAAAACAAACUGAUGGCUCGAUAAUUUUUCAAUCCUACCUUGCGAAAACCGAGUUCAAUAAUUGUUUUAUUGGUCAUGCCCGUUGUAUAGUUGGUCAUCUCACUGAUCUCAAAAUAUAACUGUUUGUCAGAAGUUAAGGAGGCAAAGGUUCUAAAACAUUUAAAAGUUUGAAAAAUCGUUUCACACAAAGAUUGUAGAACUUUAAUGAAACAAUAAGAAUUGAUUUAGUAGGAAAUCCUGAUAGGGUAAGAUUGCUUUGACUGUUUAUGUAUAACUUUGUUGAUCAAGUUUUGCCUAAAAUAUGCACGGCUUUCCUAUUCAUUCUAUGUAAAAGUUUCUUAAUUUUAAUAAAUUAACUUGUGUUCAUUUUUUUAUAAUAGCACAAAAUAAAAUGGGAGAAUAUUAUUUUCAUCAAACCUGUUCGAUUUAAAUUUAUAAUAUUUUUUUGGUCGAGUUUCCAUAUUGUGUAUUCGUAUUUCCAUAGCAUGGCCUCAUAACAUUGAAUAAGAUUUCCUUUACAAAACAAUUCGUACUUCCCCUGACUCCACGAAAUUUCUUGCCACAGGAGAUUGGGCCUAGCCAGUAUGCCCUCGUAGCUCCGCCAUUUUGUAACUGAGAAUAUUUAGGAGUGUGCAUUCAAUCAUCCAAAUACUUUCCAGGGGUGGAGCUAGCCCUUUCUUAAUGGGAAGGAGGGGGUUUAUUUUAAGUAUCUCUUCUCGUUCAGUUCCCUUAAAUGUUUCCCUAAAUUUCCUCAAAUUUCACUAAAAUAUUUCAGUUGUUUUCCUUCCUUUCCAAUUAUGUUUUGCCGACUGGGCACAAACUGACCGACUUGGAUAAAACAAUUGGCCAACUACACGAAGAUUGAGGGAUGUUCAACCACCUUCCCCCUACAUCCCUGUCUAACGCCGCGCCUGACGUUCAGAAUAAUUUAUUGAUCGAUUAAUGAGCGAUGUUUCUGUAUUAUAUUUUAGAGACCUCUUCCCUUUCCACGAGUUGUGAUCAAAAGGGGUCCAUUUAGCGGUGUACAGCCCAUACGACGUCCAUUCAUGAGGAAAGUUAUACGCCAACCAAUCCCUAUGCCACAGCAACUUUUUCGAAUGUUUGGUCCAAACCGUCGCAUGUCAUGGUUUCCACGAUAUGGAUGAUCCAAGUUUCUUAAUUAAUUAAUAACAAGAAAUAUUUGCAGACAUUUAAAGACAUUACUGAUUUGACUUCUAUAUUGAGUCAUUGCAUGUCAUUUGGACAGCCGAGGAUAUGCUAUAUGGUUGGUAGAUGCUUUAAAAAACAAUACCGUUUUGCAUUUAUGAACUGAAUCACAUAUUAUGUGCAUAACACUAAAGGUAAUUAGGUAAUAUUGUGAUAUAUACAGUACCAUUAAAAUGACUAUAAAAUAGAUAUGUAAUAACUAAGAUUAAUGUGUAAAAAUAUUUUCAUGGAUACUUUGACAUGAUUUUCUGUGUAAUGCACGAUAAAAAACUUAUGAUAAAACGGUAUAUAUUUACAUAAGACAGUUCAAAAGUUCUCAUCGUUCUUAACCGACUAAUCAUAUAUAGGCC